GAGGGUAUAGCUCAGUGGUAGAGUGCAUAUUUAGCAUGCAUGAGGUCCUGGGUUCAAUCCCCAGAACCUCCU
This 72-nucleotide transfer RNA is filed under the name Camelus bactrianus (Bactrian camel). It matches the Rfam family "tRNA". Rfam says of the family: Transfer RNA (tRNA) molecules are approximately 80 nucleotides in length. Lineage: Eukaryota; Metazoa; Chordata; Mammalia; Artiodactyla; Camelidae. The record is from Rfam by way of RNAcentral. RNAcentral also lists the same sequence under 1 other name.